AUUGAACGCUGGCGGCGUGCUUAACACAUGCAAGUCGAACGCGAAAGGGACUUCGGUCCUGAGUAAAGUGGCGCACGGGUGAGUAACGCGUGGAUAAUCUGCCCUUAUGAUCGGGAUAACAGUUGGAAACGGCUGCUAAUACCGGAUACGCUCAAAAUGAACUUUUUGAGGAAAGAUGGCCUCUGCUUGCAUGCUAUCACGUAAGGAUGAGUCCGCGUCCCAUUAGCUUGUUGGCGGGGUAACGGCCCACCAAGGCAACGAUGGGUAGCCGAUUUGAGAGGAUGAUCGGCCACACUGGAACUGAAACACGGUCCAGACUCCUACGGGAGGCAGCAGUGGGGAAUAUUGCGCAAUGGGCGAAAGCCUGACGCAGCGACGCCGCGUGAGGGAUGAAAGGUUUUCGGAUCGUAAACCUCUGUCAGAAGGGAAGAAACUACGUUGUGCUAAUCAGCAGCGUACUGACGGUACCUUCAAAGGAAGCACCGGCUAACUCCGUGCCAGCAGCAGC
This 508-nucleotide ribosomal RNA is filed under the name uncultured bacterium. RNAcentral describes it as "bacterial SSU rRNA". It matches the Rfam family "Bacterial small subunit ribosomal RNA", at positions 30 to 518 of the family's 1533-position model. The record is from RNAcentral.